UCCACACCGAACCAUACCAUAGUUCCUUAGACCUAUCGGUUCAAUCUCAUACCAAGUCAUGCAUUCACAUUCCAUAUACUAAUCAAUAGGAUAUUUGAGGCAUUUUCAUACGUCAUUUUAUUUUCGUUACAAUCAUACAACUAAACGACCUUUCACCUAUUCCACGAUAAAUCUUAUGUACGUGACUUCAAUUAUAAUUGUCACAUAGGUUCAAACUUACCAAGCUCAACUCCAAAUAUAAACAUAGCGCCUAUUGGCCAUGAACUCAAGGUACUUACCCGAUCCGCUGUCCGUGAUCAACUCAAU
RNAcentral lists this long non-coding RNA (306 nucleotides) under Gossypium barbadense (sea-island cotton). RNAcentral describes it as "long non-coding RNA (GBAR_LNC006617)". The record is from RNAcentral. Lineage: Eukaryota; Viridiplantae; Streptophyta; Magnoliopsida; Malvales; Malvaceae.